Molecule: ribosomal RNA, 495 nt
Filed under: uncultured bacterium
Lineage: Bacteria
Description: partial 16S ribosomal RNA
Rfam family: Bacterial small subunit ribosomal RNA
Source: RNAcentral
UGACCGCUGGCGGCGUGCCUAAUACAUGCAAGUCGAGCGAACAGAUGAGGAGCUUGCUCCUCUGACGUUAGCGGCGGACGGGUGAGUAACACGUGGAUAACCUACCUAUAAGACUGGGAUAACUUCGGGAAACCGGAGCUAAUACCGGAUAAUAUAUUGAACCGCAUGGUUCAAUAGUGAAAGACGGUUUUGCUGUCACUUAUAGAUGGAUCCGCGCCGCAUUAGCUAGUUGGUAAGGUAACGGCUUACCAAGGCAACGAUGCGUAGCCGACCUGAGAGGGUGAUCGGCCACACUGGAACUGAGACACGGUCCAGACUCCUACGGGAGGCAGCAGUAGGGAAUCUUCCGCAAUGGGCGAAAGCCUGACGGAGCAACGCCGCGUGAGUGAUGAAGGUCUUCGGAUCGUAAAACUCUGUUAUUAGGGAAGAACAAAUGUGUAAGUAACUAUGCACGUCUUGACGGUACCUAAUCAGAAAGCCACGGCUAACUACGUG